Molecule: ribosomal RNA, 301 nt
Filed under: uncultured bacterium
Lineage: Bacteria
Description: partial 16S ribosomal RNA
Rfam family: Bacterial small subunit ribosomal RNA
Source: RNAcentral
CAGUCGCCGCGGGAAUACGUAGGGCGCAAGCGUUGUCCGGAAUUAUUGGGCGUAAAGAGCUCGUAGGCGGUCUGUCGCGUCUGGUGUGAAAUCCCGAGGCUCAACCUCGGGCUUGCAUCGGGUACGGGCAGACUAGAGUGCGGUAGGGGAGACUGGAAUUCCUGGUGUAGCGGUGGAAUGCGCAGAUAUCAGGAGGAACACCGAUGGCGAAGGCAGGUCUCUGGGCCGCAACUGACGCUGAGGAGCGAAAGCAUGGGGAGCGAACAGGAUUAGAGACCCCCGUAGUCCCUGUCUCUUAUAC